UUAACACAAAAGAUUAGGAUGAAAACCCGAAAGGGCGUUCUAAUGAAGCAAGCACUGGCUUAAAAAGUAAGGCGUUUUGAACGGUGGGUCAAACAGAGAGACUACAGUAUUUGAAGCAUUUCUGAAAACUCGAAAUCUCUUACGCAAGAAAGCCAUGCUUGAAAAGAUUCUUGAUUGAGGAACGUGGAAGAGUUCAUGCGUUGAAUAUCUAGAGCAUUUGUAUUUGUUGAAAUGCGAUCCCCUUUCUCUUUAUGACACUUUUUUUACUAUCAUUGAUUAACUUUCUUUGUUUGCUACAUUUGAAAUGAAUAAAUGUGAGGUAUCCUUU
RNAcentral lists this long non-coding RNA (328 nucleotides) under Gossypium barbadense (sea-island cotton). RNAcentral describes it as "long non-coding RNA (GBAR_LNC007742)". The record is from RNAcentral. Lineage: Eukaryota; Viridiplantae; Streptophyta; Magnoliopsida; Malvales; Malvaceae.